Molecule: long non-coding RNA, 1741 nt
Organism: Gasterosteus aculeatus aculeatus (three-spined stickleback)
Lineage: Eukaryota; Metazoa; Chordata; Actinopteri; Perciformes; Gasterosteidae
Source: Ensembl
CUGACAUACCAAUGUUUCCUGAUUCCUGGGCUUAUGACUCUGCUGCCCCAGUGCAACCGCAACCCCUUAUGCGAUUGACGCGCAGUUGGUUAACCUCGGGAGGGACCUCCAGCCCAGGACAGAGUUGUCAUUGACCUGUAUAUCUCACUACCAGGAGCUGCCCCGAGACAGUGGAUGAUCUUGUGACGCUGUUGGAGAAUCACCAGGUCACAGCAGAGUUGAUGCAGAGCAGUAGGAAAGAGCCCUUACGACGCAGCCAAUUUGACCCCAAGAGAGACUGGCUGAGGAAGGGUAAUAUGGAGACACUGCCCCUAAGUCAGAGGCCCAAAGGGGGCUUUUCCACAUUUUGCAAAAAAGAAUGGCCUCUUAUCUUUAUAAGAAGCCAUUGCUAAGCUGGUGGAACUUGUGGUGGAACAGUUGCUAGUCCCCAAACGCUAUAUUCCAAAAGUGUUGUAACUGGCCCACUCACACAUGUUGGGAGCUCAUCUAGGGAUAGAGAAGACCUACAACCGAAUCCUGGAGCGCUUCUACUGGCCGGGGGUAAAGAAGACGAUCCAGGAUUGCUGCAAAAUCUGCCCGGAGAUCCAGAAGACAGCUCCAAAGAUGCUGCAAAGGAGAAGACGAGCAGAAUACCUCGGCUACACCAUUGGGAGAGGCAGUGUAAGACCCCAAUCCCGGAAAGUGGAAGCCAUCGCCACCUGGCCUAAGUCAGCAACUAAGCGGCAAGUAAAAACGUUCCUGGGCCUGGUCGGCUUUUAUCAGUGCUUUAUACCUCACUUUGUCACCAUUGCAGCCCCUUUACAUGAGAUGAUGAAAAACAGCCACCCACACCAGGUUCUUUGGAGCACCAACGCUGUGGAAGCAUUUGCAACCCUUCGGAAGGCCUUGUGCACUGAGCCGAUCUUAAGCACCCCUAACUUCCAGGACACGUUCGUCGUCCAUACAUAUGGCUCAGGAUCAGGUAUUGGAGCUGUGCUGUCCCAGGUUAGAGGAGGAGAACACCUCCGGGUUGACACAACAUGAAGAAGCUUUAAGCCAAAGGUGUGAUCAUUGAAUGUACUGUAGUAUUUAGUGAACAGGGAUUGGUCAGGUCAGUGAGGGAUUUCAGAUUCGACCAUUAGAUGGAGCCAGAAGGAAGUCAUGUGAUGCCUUGGAGAAGAAAGGAAUUCACGAGGGAGGAGUUGGACUUGAAUGUGCAGCCAAUCACAUACGACUGCAGCACAAGGGUCGCGCCAGCUCCUGGGAGAUUGGAAGAGCUGAGCUGGAGAAGGAGCAAACAGCCUCCUGUGAACCAAUAUUGAUAGCCAUAUGAGACUUUGACCAAGGGACUUCUCUAUUUCGCGAGAUAAUAUACUCUUCAGACUUUAUUCCGCUGUAUUGCUUAUUACUUCUGUUAGUUAUUAAGUUCUUUAUCAUUUUUAAACUCGAGCCAGUUGACUCUUAUUGAUUUCUCGUCUCAGAAGGGCCGAGGGGAACAGUAGUGGUCCUUGAUCAGAACCCAACACUGCAUAGGUUCGACGCUCUGCAAGAAGUUGCGCAUGCGCGUUACAGAUGUGAUUAGACUUAAAGAAGUAAUGUUUCAAACAGCCCGCAUUACUAUGUCCUUAAAGCUUCUUGUUAACAGUACACCGUCUGUAGUUCCAUAUUUAUGUCGUUUUGAAUGAAAUAUUCUGAGUAUUAAAUGAAAUUUGAACCCAAUUUCUGUGCUGAAAUCGCAUAUAGUGCUCACUGCGUAUCUUGC